AUACGGAGGACGCGAGCGUUAUCCGGAUUCAUUGGGUUUAAAGGGUGCGCAGGCGGCCGUGUAAGUCAGCGGUGAAAGCCCGGGGCUCAACCCCGGAAGUGCCGUUGAUACUGCGUGGCUGGAAUGCGGUCGAGGCGGGCGGAACGGGGCGUGGAGCGGUGAAAUGCGUAGAUAUGCCACAGAACGCCGAUAGCGGAGGCAGCUCGCCAGGCCUGCAUUGACGCUCGGGCACGAAAGCGUGGGGAUCGAACAGGAUUAGAUACCCUGGUAGUCCACGCAGUAAACGAUGAUUACUAGCUGUUUGCGAUACAAUGUAAGCGGCUGAGCGAAAGCGUUAAGUAAUCCACCUGGGGAGUACGUUCGCAAGAAUGAAACUCAAAUGAAUUGACGGGG
This 393-nucleotide ribosomal RNA is filed under the name uncultured bacterium. RNAcentral describes it as "partial 16S ribosomal RNA". It matches the Rfam family "Bacterial small subunit ribosomal RNA", at positions 523 to 918 of the family's 1533-position model. The record is from RNAcentral.